CGAUGGUAGGAUAAUUAUUGACCUGAGGAAUAAUGUGGAUUUAUGUGGUUGUGAGAAUAGACUUUGUGUUUGUGAAUGUGAAAAUGUGAGUGUGCAUCUGUGUGUGCGCGCGGACGCUUUUCUGAACCAGGGAUCCCACUUGACAAGUUGACCUUGUCUAGAGGAGCAUUAGUGGAAAAAAACAGUGCAGCCCUGAGACAAUAGGAUGACGUCACGACCAAUGACAACGGCCUGCAGGGGGCACAAGGAUUCACUUCUCUCUUGGACACUGAGGGGUCCGGGCACGCAAAUUCUGCUCCUGGUAAUUGCGUUGGCCGUCGGUGGAAGAGCGUAGCUUCGGUGGGGUUCUGUCUGACUCUGAUGGGGUGCGGAUGUGUGGUCUGUCACUGGUGAAUGGUGUUCGACGAUGCAGGUGGAUUUUGUGACGUGCGGAUUUACAAUGAGGGAAUGCUGUGAACGGGAAAAAUGAUGAUUGACCAAAGGAGCAUUAGUGGAAAAAAACAGGGUAGCCCUGAGACAAUAGGAUGACGUCACGACCAAUGAGAACGGCCAGCAGGGGGCGCAGGAAUGCUCUUCGCUCUUAGCCUCACGACCAAUGAGAACGGCCAGCAGGAGGCGCAGGAAUGCUCUUCACUCUUAGCCUCUCGGAGGUGGUCGCCCCAGAGGGCGCUAGGAGCGCGUAUGCGUAGCGCCGCCCCAGUCAGUUUCUCUCUGGCUGUCGCGGAAAGCAGACGUGCGCUCCCCGCGCUCGCUCAGUUUCUGGCUGGCUGUCACGGAGAGCAGUCGCAUCGGUCUGUGCUCCUGCUGUGGUGAGGUGAUUUGUUGUGUAACUAAUGCUUUCGCCAACUUUGUUCCCGCUUUGUUUGCGAUUUUCGUGCCAGUGCACGUCGGGUGCUGGUUGCUGUUGUCCGGGCAUCCCCGCCAUUUUCUAUCUUCUUCUGCCUUGGGAACGGCAGUAGCGCUGGCGUGAUUCCUAAUAAUUUUAUUGUGAGAUUAGUGGAGAAAGUAACCGCUAGGGGGUGGAGCUGCGUGGCUUUAUACAGGACAAAAAAGCAUUACGAGUCAGUUUCUGCCUACCUCUCGGAUGGAGCAGUCGCAUGGUUCUGCGCUCCUGUUCUGGUGGGCUCAUUUGUUGUGUAACUAAUUCUUUUUGUUGUUAGCUAUUGAUGGUUUGCAUACUCUUGCUUUCCCAGCCUCUGCAUUAUGAGUGUUUUUCUCCUUGCAUGUCCAGAGCUGUCCUAACUUGCCCAGACAUGCCAUGAUGACGUCACAGCUGACGUCACAGGAUGUCCGGAACUGGUGGUCAUAGCUGCGAUGCUUUGCAACCUGCCUCUGUGCUCCGUCGCAGAGCGACGGUCAGCGGCCGUUCCGGACCGCUUUCUUCAAGAUGGCGUCGUUGAUCUUCAACUAAACUCCUUCGCUCCACUCUAUCUCUAUCUUUUUAUUUUAUUUUCUACCUAUUUUUUUAUUUUUAUCAGCUCAAGUAGCCGGCAACUCACACAGUGGUCUGGACACUAGUUAGACGCUCCCCAAUUAGUGUGAUGACUCAUUGAAUGAUGCUGAUUAAUGUGGGGGGUCCCAAUUAGCUCUAAUUGCUAAUUAAUGGCGUCCAGAUGACUGUGUGACUUGCCGGCUUCUUGA
This is a long non-coding RNA of Ornithodoros turicata, 1641 nucleotides long. RefSeq lists it as uncharacterized. NCBI's taxonomy places the organism in Eukaryota, Metazoa, Arthropoda, Arachnida, Ixodida, Argasidae. The record is from RefSeq and is a predicted model, not a curated record. The transcript has 3 exons.